Molecule: long non-coding RNA, 235 nt
Organism: Sander lucioperca (pikeperch)
Lineage: Eukaryota; Metazoa; Chordata; Actinopteri; Perciformes; Percidae
Exons: 4
Source: RefSeq, a predicted model, not a curated record
CAGGGGUGGGGAUGAUGACACCGUUGCAAAUGCGAUGAUGAUUGGCUGGGUGGGCGGAUGCCCUGCUCACGCUGUCUCACUGCACGCUCUGACUACCACUAAACACAAGACAGCGACAAUGGCGACGAGCCAGGGAAAUUCAAAGGUAGCGUUCUCGAACUGGAAGUACCGGCACUACUUCUCGCUCAUUGGAAUUAAAGGCAAGAAUGUUUAUGUAACUUGCACAAUAUAAAAU